RNAcentral lists this ribosomal RNA (253 nucleotides) under uncultured bacterium. RNAcentral's name for it is "partial 16S ribosomal RNA". It matches the Rfam family "Bacterial small subunit ribosomal RNA", at positions 524 to 776 of the family's 1533-position model. The record is from RNAcentral.
UACGAGGGGUGCAAGCGUUGUUCGGAAUCACUGGGCGUAAAGGGAGCGUAGGCGGAGCUUCAAGUCGGUCGUACAAUUCCGGGGCCUAACCCCGGACCUGCGGCCGAUACUGGGGCUCUUGAGUUAUCUAGAGGCAGGCGGAAUUCCAGGUGUAGCGGUGGAAUGCGUAGAGAUCUGGAAGAACACCAAUGGCGAAGGCAGCCUGCUGGGGAUUAACUGACGCUGAGGCUCGAAAGUGCGGGUAGCAAACAGG